CCUACGGGUGGCAGCAGUGGGGAAUAUUGCACAAUGGGGGAAACCCUGAUGCAGCGACGCCGCGUGAGCGAAGAAGUAUUUCGGUAUGUAAAGCUCUAUCAGCAGGGAAGAAAAUGACGGUACCUGAGUAAGAAGCUCCGGCUAAAUACGUGCCAGCAGCCGCGGUAAUACGUAUGGAGCAAGCGUUAUCCGGAUUUACUGGGCGUAAAGGGAGCGUAGGCGGCCUGUCAAGUCUGAUGUUAAAUGCAGAAGCUCAACUUCUGUUCGGCACUGGAUACUGGUAAGCUUGAAUGCGGUAGAGGUAAAGGGAAUUCCUGGUGUAGCGGUGAAAUGCGUAGAUAUCAGGAGGAACAUCGGUGGCGUAAGCGCUUUACUGGGCCGUAAUUGACACUGAGGAACGAAAGCCGGGGUAGCAAAUGGGAUUAGAUACCCGUGUAGUC
RNAcentral lists this ribosomal RNA (440 nucleotides) under uncultured bacterium. Its description in RNAcentral is "partial 16S ribosomal RNA". It matches the Rfam family "Bacterial small subunit ribosomal RNA", at positions 338 to 795 of the family's 1533-position model. The record is from RNAcentral.